RNAcentral lists this transfer RNA (69 nucleotides) under Sphaerodactylus townsendi. RNAcentral's name for it is "tRNA-Ala". It matches the Rfam family "tRNA". From Rfam's summary of the family: Transfer RNA (tRNA) molecules are approximately 80 nucleotides in length. Their secondary structure includes four short double-helical elements and three loops (D, anti-codon, and T loops). Lineage: Eukaryota; Metazoa; Chordata; Lepidosauria; Squamata; Sphaerodactylidae. The record is from RNAcentral.
GCCGUGGCUCAGUGGUAGAGCAUCUGCUUGGCAUGCAGAAGGUCCCGUGUUCAAUCCUCAGCAUCUCCA